GAUGAACGCUGGCGGCGUGCUUAACACAUGCAAGUCGAACGAUGAAGCCCAGCUUGCUGGGUGGUUUAGUGGCGAACGGGUGAGUAACACGUGAGCAAUCUGCCCCUGACUCUGGGAUAAGCGCUGGAAACGGCGUCUAAUACUGGAUACGAGCUGCGAAGGCAUCUUCAGCAGCUGGAAAGAACUUCGGUCAGGGAUGAGCUCGCGGCCUAUCAGCUUGUUGGUGAGGUAACGGCUCACCAAGGCGUCGACGGGUAGCCGGCCUGAGAGGGUGACCGGCCACACUGGGACUGAGACACGGCCCAGACUCCUACGGGAGGCAGCAGUGGGGAAUAUUGCACAAUGGGCGAAAGCCUGAUGCAGCAACGCCGCGUGAGGGACGACGGCCUUCGGGUUGUAAACCUCUUUUAGCAGGGAAGAAGCGAAAGUGACGGUACCUGCAGAAAAAGCGCCGGCUAACUACGUG
This 466-nucleotide ribosomal RNA is filed under the name uncultured bacterium. RNAcentral's name for it is "partial 16S ribosomal RNA". It matches the Rfam family "Bacterial small subunit ribosomal RNA", at positions 28 to 507 of the family's 1533-position model. The record is from RNAcentral.